ACACGACUACAUUAGAUACCCCUGUAGUCCUAGCCGUAAACGAUACUCGCUAGGUGUCGGCCACGGUGCGACCGUUGUCGGUGCCGUAGGGAAGCCGUGAAGCGAGCCACCUGGGAAGUACGGUCGCAAGGCUGAACUUAAAGGAAUUGGCGGGGGAGCACCACAACGCGUGGAGCCUGCGGUUUAAUUUGGAUUCAACGCCGGACAUCUCACCAGGGCGACAGCAGAAUGAUGGCCAGGUUGAUGACCUUGCUUGACAGGCUG
This 264-nucleotide ribosomal RNA is filed under the name uncultured archaeon. Its description in RNAcentral is "partial 16S ribosomal RNA". It matches the Rfam family "Archaeal small subunit ribosomal RNA", at positions 717 to 982 of the family's 1478-position model. The record is from RNAcentral.